AUACUUACCUGGUAGGGGAAAUACCAUAAUCGUGGAGAUGGUUUUCCCAGGGUGAGACUCAUCCAUUGCAUUGUGGGUGUGCUGACCUCUGUGAUUUCCCCAAAUGCUGGAAACUCGACUGCAUAAUUUGUGGUAGUGGGAGAUUGCGUCCUAACUGUCUCCUG
Molecule: small nuclear RNA, 164 nt
Filed under: Gopherus agassizii (Agassiz's desert tortoise)
Lineage: Eukaryota; Metazoa; Chordata; Testudines; Testudinidae
Description: U1 spliceosomal RNA (ENSGAGG00000004477.1)
Rfam family: U1 spliceosomal RNA
About the family: U1 is a small nuclear RNA (snRNA) component of the spliceosome (involved in pre-mRNA splicing). Its 5' end forms complementary base pairs with the 5' splice junction, thus defining the 5' donor site of an intron.
Source: Rfam by way of RNAcentral